This 250-nucleotide ribosomal RNA is filed under the name uncultured Chroococcidiopsis sp. Its description in RNAcentral is "partial 16S ribosomal RNA". It matches the Rfam family "Bacterial small subunit ribosomal RNA", at positions 796 to 1044 of the family's 1533-position model. Lineage: Bacteria; Bacillati; Cyanobacteriota; Cyanophyceae; Chroococcidiopsidales; Chroococcidiopsidaceae. The record is from RNAcentral.
CUAGCCGUAAACGAUGGAUACUAGGCGUUGUGAGUAUCGACCCUCACAGUGUCGUAGCUAACGCGUUAAGUAUCCCGCCUGGGGAGUACGCGCGCAAGCGUGAAACUCAAAGGAAUUGACGGGGGCCCGCACAAGCGGUGGAGUAUGUGGUUUAAUUCGAUGCAACGCGAAGAACCUUACCAGGGCUUGACAUGUCGCGAAUCUCAGGGAAACUUGAGAGUGCCUUCGGGAGCGCGAACACAGGUGGUGC